This 987-nucleotide ribosomal RNA is filed under the name Megascolecidae sp. YN201723-04. RNAcentral describes it as "partial small subunit ribosomal RNA". The record is from RNAcentral. Lineage: Eukaryota; Metazoa; Annelida; Clitellata; Crassiclitellata; Megascolecidae.
ACUCGAUAAUCCACGAAUAUCCAACCUUAUCUAGAUAAUCAGCAUGUAUACUGCCGUUGUAAGCAUACCUCUAAAAGAACCAGUAUGCCACUAUGACUAACAGCUCAAGUACAUCAGGUCAAAGUGCAGCUAAUGAAAAGGUGAUGAUGGGUUACAACCCAAAAACAGACUAUCAACCAAGAAAUAAAAAAUCUUAAGAAAGCGGACUUGGUUGUAAUCAAUUUACAAGUUAAAAAAAUGAAUAAUAUCUAAGACAUGCACACAUCGCCCGUCACUCUAACCUAAAGGCUAGAUAAGUCGUAACAAAGUAGGUGUAAUGGAAAUUGCACCUGUUGGAGUAUAGCAUAUAAAAUGCUUUCUACUUACACUAGAACUAAAGUUAAAACUUAUUCCGAACAAACAAAUAAAUCUUACAACAUAUAAGUAAAACAAACAACUAAAUAAUUUUAACUAAAACUAGUAAGUACAGAAAUGGAAAAAAAAAUAAACAAAAGUAACUUUUAACAAUUGUACCUUGUGCAUUAUGGUUUUACAAGAAACUAAUUAAAAAUAAACAUCCCGAAUUCUAAAUGAGAUGUUAAACUGCCGUUAAGAACCCACUAAUAUCUGUAGAAAAAGAUUUAAAAGACAGUUUAAUAGAGGCUACAUACCAUUCGCAUAAGAAUAUAGCUGGUUUUCAACAAACCUUAUAUAUUAAAACAUAUAACUAUAUUAUAGUGUAACAUUAUUGAGGAUAAGCCCAAUAAUAUAAUCAAUGCAUCACAAAAACAACCUUUUAUAUUAGGCCUAAAACCAGCCAACCAAAGUACUUUAUCGUAUUAAAUAAUAAUAAAAUAAAUAAAUAAAGCAUGUAAAAUAAAGUUGAAAUAGUUGAUAAACUACAUGUUCCACCUAUACUAUGUAAAAAUAAGUAUUAUAAAAUAUAAAUAACCCAACCUAGAAAUUGUAAUAAUUAAACAAAAAUAACUAAUUAAGAAACUCGGCAAA